GACGAACGCUGGCGGCGUGCUUAACACAUGCAAGUCGAACGGAAAGGCCCUGCGUUUGUGGGGUGCUCGAGUGGCGAACGGGUGAGUAACACGUGAGUAACCUGCCCUUGACUUUGGGAUAACUUCAGGAAACGGGGGCUAAUACCGGAUAGGAGCUCCUGCUGCAUGGUGGGGGUUGGAAAGUUUCGGCGGUUGGGGCUGGACUCGCGGCUUAUCAGCUUGUUGGUGGGGUAGUGGCUUACCAAGGCUUUGACGGGUAGCCGGCCUGAGAGGGUGACCGGCCACAUUGGGCCUGAGAUACGGCCCAGACUCCUACGGGAGGCAGCAGUGGGGAAUAUUGCACAGUGGGCGGGAGCCUGAUGCGGCAGCGCCGCGUGCGGGAUGACGGCCUUCGGGUUGUAAACCGCUUUCGCCUGUGACGAAGCGUGAGUGACGGUAAUGGGUAAAGAAGCACCGGCUAACUACGUG
RNAcentral lists this ribosomal RNA (468 nucleotides) under uncultured bacterium. RNAcentral describes it as "partial 16S ribosomal RNA". It matches the Rfam family "Bacterial small subunit ribosomal RNA", at positions 28 to 507 of the family's 1533-position model. The record is from RNAcentral.